RNAcentral lists this ribosomal RNA (1506 nucleotides) under Staphylococcus aureus. RNAcentral's name for it is "partial 16S ribosomal RNA". It matches the Rfam family "Bacterial small subunit ribosomal RNA". The record is from RNAcentral. Lineage: Bacteria; Bacillati; Bacillota; Bacilli; Caryophanales; Staphylococcaceae.
CCUAAUACAUGCAAGUCGAGCGAACGGACGAGAAGCUUGCUUCUCUGAUGUUAGCGGCGGACGGGUGAGUAACACGUGGAUAACCUACCUAUAAGACUGGGAUAACUUCGGGAAACCGGAGCUAAUACCGGAUAAUAUUUUGAACCGCAUGGUUCAAAAGUGAAAGACGGUCUUGCUGUCACUUAUAGAUGGAUCCGCGCUGCAUUAGCUAGUUGGUAAGGUAACGGCUUACCAAGGCAACGAUGCAUAGCCGACCUGAGAGGGUGAUCGGCCACACUGGAACUGAGACACGGUCCAGACUCCUACGGGAGGCAGCAGUAGGGAAUCUUCCGCAAUGGGCGAAAGCCUGACGGAGCAACGCCGCGUGAGUGAUGAAGGUCUUCGGAUCGUAAAACUCUGUUAUUAGGGAAGAACAUAUGUGUAAGUAACUGUGCACAUCUUGACGGUACCUAAUCAGAAAGCCACGGCUAACUACGUGCCAGCAGCCGCGGUAAUACGUAGGUGGCAAGCGUUAUCCGGAAUUAUUGGGCGUAAAGCGCGCGUAGGCGGUUUUUUAAGUCUGAUGUGAAAGCCCACGGCUCAACCGUGGAGGGUCAUUGGAAACUGGAAAACUUGAGUGCAGAAGAGGAAAGUGGAAUUCCAUGUGUAGCGGUGAAAUGCGCAGAGAUAUGGAGGAACACCAGUGGCGAAGGCGACUUUCUGGUCUGUAACUGACGCUGAUGUGCGAAAGCGUGGGGAUCAAACAGGAUUAGAUACCCUGGUAGUCCACGCCGUAAACGAUGAGUGCUAAGUGUUAGGGGGUUUCCGCCCCUUAGUGCUGCAGCUAACGCAUUAAGCACUCCGCCUGGGGAGUACGACCGCAAGGUUGAAACUCAAAGGAAUUGACGGGGACCCGCACAAGCGGUGGAGCAUGUGGUUUAAUUCGAAGCAACGCGAAGAACCUUACCAAAUCUUGACAUCCUUUGACAACUCUAGAGAUAGAGCCUUCCCCUUCGGGGGACAAAGUGACAGGUGGUGCAUGGUUGUCGUCAGCUCGUGUCGUGAGAUGUUGGGUUAAGUCCCGCAACGAGCGCAACCCUUAAGCUUAGUUGCCAUCAUUAAGUUGGGCACUCUAAGUUGACUGCCGGUGACAAACCGGAGGAAGGUGGGGAUGACGUCAAAUCAUCAUGCCCCUUAUGAUUUGGGCUACACACGUGCUACAAUGGACAAUACAAAGGGCAGCGAAACCGCGAGGUCAAGCAAAUCCCAUAAAGUUGUUCUCAGUUCGGAUUGUAGUCUGCAACUCGACUACAUGAAGCUGGAAUCGCUAGUAAUCGUAGAUCAGCAUGCUACGGUGAAUACGUUCCCGGGUCUUGUACACACCGCCCGUCACACCACGAGAGUUUGUAACACCCGAAGCCGGUGGAGUAACCUUUUAGGAGCUAGCCGUCGAAGGUGGGACAAAUGAUUGGGGUGAAGUCGUAACAAGGUAGCCGUAUCGGAAGGUGCGGCUGGAUCACCUCCUUU